RNAcentral lists this non-coding RNA (32 nucleotides) under Geobacter sulfurreducens KN400. The record is from RNAcentral. Lineage: Bacteria; Pseudomonadati; Thermodesulfobacteriota; Desulfuromonadia; Geobacterales; Geobacteraceae.
CCUCACCCAGGGCCUCACCGCCAUCACCCUCU